AACCUAGCACACCUGCGGUGUGUACCUGCGGAGGGAUCAUUACACAACAAAAUAUGAAGGUCUGGCUUCGCGGCCGGCUGAAGUAUUUUUUUUCACCCAUGUCUUUUGCGCACUUGUUGUUUCCUGGGCGGGUUCGCCCGCCACCAGGACCAAACCAUAAACCUUUUUUUUAUGUAGUUGCAAUCAGCGUCAGUAAAAACAAUGUAAUUAUUACAACUUUCAGCAACGGAUCUCAGAUCG
Molecule: unclassified non-coding RNA, 240 nt
Filed under: soil metagenome
Description: partial contains 5.8S ribosomal RNA, internal transcribed spacer 2, and large subunit ribosomal RNA
Source: RNAcentral